This 388-nucleotide ribosomal RNA is filed under the name uncultured bacterium. RNAcentral describes it as "bacterial SSU rRNA". It matches the Rfam family "Bacterial small subunit ribosomal RNA", at positions 8 to 375 of the family's 1533-position model. The record is from RNAcentral.
AGAGUUUGAUCCUGGCUCAGGACGAACGCUGGCGGCGUGCCUAACACAUGCAAGUCGAACGGAGAACUCAAUAAGCUUGCUUAAAGAGUUUUUAGUGGCGGACGGGUGAGUAACGCGUGGAUAACCUACCCAUGAGAUCGGGACAACCCUUGGAAACGAGGGCUAAUACCGGAUAAUCUUAAGUCUUGGCAUCAAGGUUUAAGGAAAGGUGGCCUCUGAAUAUGCUACCGAUUAUGGAUGGACCCGCGUCUGAUUAGCUAGUUGGUGGGGUAAAGGCCUACCAAGGCGACGAUCAGUAGCCGGCCUGAGAGGGUGAACGGCCACACUGGGACUGAGACACGGCCCAGACUCCUACGGGAGGCAGCAGUGGGGAAUCUUCCGCAAUGGA